UCUUGACCUUAGCUCAGUGGUAGAGCACAUGAUUUGCAAGCAAAAGGUUCCUGGUCCAAUCCCUGGCAACUCCAGGUAGAG
Non-coding RNA from Podarcis lilfordi (Lilford's wall lizard), 81 nucleotides. The record is from the annotation of a GenBank genome assembly. NCBI's taxonomy places the organism in Eukaryota, Metazoa, Chordata, Lepidosauria, Squamata, Lacertidae.